RNAcentral lists this ribosomal RNA (199 nucleotides) under Harpalus affinis. RNAcentral's name for it is "partial 28S ribosomal RNA". It matches the Rfam family "Eukaryotic large subunit ribosomal RNA", at positions 663 to 817 of the family's 3401-position model. Lineage: Eukaryota; Metazoa; Arthropoda; Insecta; Coleoptera; Carabidae. RNAcentral also lists the same sequence under 1 other name. The record is from RNAcentral.
GGACCAAGGAGUCUAGCAUGUGCGCAAGUCGUUGGGAUUUUAUUAAACCUAAAGGCGUAAUGAAAGUAAAUAUUUAUGAAUUUUCGUAAUUCAUUAAUUAAGGGAAGAUGGGUAACGAUUUAUAUGUUACCUCGCAUUCCCGGGGCGUCGCAUACUCAUUGCGAGUUGCGGCGCACCAAGAGCGUACACGCUGGGACCC